AGUGAACGCUGGCGGUAGGCCUAACACAUGCAAGUCGAACGGCAGCACAGGAGAGCUUGCUCUCUGGGUGGCGAGUGGCGGACGGGUGAGGAGUACAUCGGAAUCUACUCUGUCGUGGGGGAUAACGUAGGGAAACUUACGCUAAUACCGCAUACGACCUACGGGUGAAAGCAGGGGACCUGCGGGCCUUGCGCGAUGGAAUGAGCCGAUGUCGGAUUAUCUAGUUGGCGGGGUAAAGGCCCACCAAGGCGACGAUCCGUAGCUGGUCUGAGAGGAUGAUCAGCCACACUGGAACUGAGACACGGUCCAGACUCCUACGGGAGGCAGCAGUGGGGAAUAUUGGACAAUGGGCGCAAGCCUGAUCCAGCCAUACCGCGUGAGUGAAGAAGGCCUUCGGGUUGUAAAGCCCUUUUGUUGGGAAAGAAAUCCAGCUGGCUAAUACCCGGUUGGGAUGACGGUACCCAAAGAAUAAGCACCGGCUAACUUCGUGCCAGCCGCCGCCGUAA
This 506-nucleotide ribosomal RNA is filed under the name uncultured bacterium. Its description in RNAcentral is "partial 16S ribosomal RNA". It matches the Rfam family "Bacterial small subunit ribosomal RNA", at positions 29 to 523 of the family's 1533-position model. The record is from RNAcentral.